AAAACCCCAUAUACCAUGGCCUUAAUUAUCAUUUCAGUAUAGUCCUUAGUAGUUUAUUCCAGCAGUCAGCUCCGGCCUAAGCAUCAUCUACGUAGGGGACCGAUGAACAUAAGUGAAUGAUCCAGUGAAAUAAAUAAAAGAAAAAGGAAACUCCAGGAUAGGUGACCCUCACAAAGUCAUUUAAACCAAAAUGUUGUAAAAAUUUGCUGCAAAAGAAAAAGAAAAAGAAAAAC
RNAcentral lists this long non-coding RNA (233 nucleotides) under Lathyrus oleraceus (garden pea). RNAcentral's name for it is "Pisum sativum (pea) long non-coding RNA (PSAT_LNC034324)". Lineage: Eukaryota; Viridiplantae; Streptophyta; Magnoliopsida; Fabales; Fabaceae. The record is from RNAcentral.